This 758-nucleotide long non-coding RNA is filed under the name Capsella rubella. Its description in RNAcentral is "long non-coding RNA (CRUB_LNC002960)". The record is from RNAcentral. Lineage: Eukaryota; Viridiplantae; Streptophyta; Magnoliopsida; Brassicales; Brassicaceae.
UUUUGGAUUAAGUACAAAUAUUUCAAGAAAAUUCUAUUAUAUUUCUAGAAUAAUUUUAUCAACAUUGUAUAGGAAAGAAUAAUUAUAUGUUAGGGAAUUAUUGUUAUAUGUGCUUAUGGCUACUUGAAAAAGAAAAAAAAAAUAAUAUUUUUAAUGUAACUACUGGUUUCGGUUUAAGGAUGUAAACAAGUACGAACUUUGUGAAGAUGCAGUUCUAGAACAGCUUGCUGUGAAGAUCAGGAAGCUGCAUCUGUUCAGACGCCUGAGACCACAUCAGACGUCUGGGAUCACAUCAGACACUUGAAGUUGCUGACAUGGAGUCGUGAGAUGACGUGACAAAGCUUAAGUGGAUGGAGUGACGUGCUAAGGAAGAUUUCUUGCUUGGCAGCAAAGAUAGAGACGAAUUGCGUGUGAAGAUAUGGUGAAUAUUCUUUACAUCAAAUAAGGAAAGGAUGAGCUUGACAAGCAAGCAUAUUCCGUUUCGGUGAGAUCCUCAAAGAUCCUAGGGUUAGGGUUUCGGGUAGUUAGUAUAAAUAGUCUAGGGUUGGCCACGAGCCACUUUGAACACUUUAGACUCUUUGUACGUGAUUGUAAACCUCGAAGCUAGCAAAACAAAAAUCUGAGAAGGUGAGUGUUUGUUUUCUCUUGGGACUACACGGGUGUAGGAGAGAUAGGCUUAGUGCUCGUUCUUUAGUCGGGUUCAAUUCUAUUGGGAAGAAUAGAUUGAGUAAGAGCCGAGACAAAAUUGUAUCCUAGGA